CUGCUGCCUCCCGUAGGAGUCUGGUCCGUGUCUCAGUACCAGUGUGGGGGGCCUUCCUCUCAGAACCCCUACGCAUCGUCGCCUCGGUGGGCCGUUACCCCGCCGACUGGCUAAUGCGCCGCAUGCCCAUCCGUGGCCGGGAUUGCUCCCUUUGGCGGCCUUGGGAUGUCCCUAGGCCGCGUUGCGCGGUAUUAGACGGGGUUUCCCCCGCUUAUCCCCCUGCCACGGGCAGGUUGCAUACGUGUUACUCACCCGUGCGCCGGUCGCCGGCAACGG
RNAcentral lists this ribosomal RNA (276 nucleotides) under uncultured bacterium. Its description in RNAcentral is "partial 16S ribosomal RNA". The record is from RNAcentral.